UACGAGGGAUGCAAGCGUUAUCCGGAAUUAUUGGGCGUAAAGCGUUUGUAGGCGGGCGAGUGUGUUUAAUGUUAAAUCUUAAAGCUCAACUUUGAGAUUGCGUUAAAAACUCCUUGUCUUGAGUAUGGUAGGGGUAAAGGGAAUUCCCAGUGUAGCGGUGAAAUGCGUAGAUAUUGGGAAGAACACUAAACAGCGAAGGCACUUUACUAGGCUAAUACUGACGCUGAGAAACGAAAGGUAAGGUAGCGAAACGGAUUAGAUACCCGUGUAGUCUUACCCGUAAACUAUGGACACUAAACGGUAAAUUUUUAAUUUACUGUUAAAGCUAACGCGUUAAGUGUCCCGCCUGGGGAGUAUGCUUGCAAAAGUGAAACUCAAAGGAAUUGACGGGGGCCCGCACAAGCGGUGGAGCAUGUGGUUUAAUUCGACGGUACACGAAGAACCUUACCAGGAUUUGACAUGCUAGAUAGUUGCUUGAAAGAGUAACGUGCCGUAAGGAAUCUAGACACAGGUGGUGCAUGGCUGUCGUCAGUUCGUGUUGUGAAAUGUUGGGUUAAGUCCCGCAACGAACGCAACCCUUGUCUUUAGUUAUUUUCUAAAGAGACUGCCUGUAAUAAACAGGAGGAAGGUAAGGAUGAGGUCAAGUCAUCAUGCCCCUUAUGUCCUGGGCUACACACGUGCUACAAUGGGAAAGACAAUGAGCUGCAAAUCUGUAAAUUUAAGCAAAUCUCUUAAACUUUCUCGUAGUUCGGAUUGUGGGCUGCAACUCGCCCACAUGAAGUUGGAAUCGCUAGUAAUCGCCAGUCAGCUAUAUGGCGGUGAAUCCGUUCCCGGGCCU
This 838-nucleotide ribosomal RNA is filed under the name uncultured bacterium. RNAcentral describes it as "bacterial SSU rRNA". It matches the Rfam family "Bacterial small subunit ribosomal RNA", at positions 524 to 1381 of the family's 1533-position model. The record is from RNAcentral.